RNAcentral lists this non-coding RNA (1132 nucleotides) under Lepomis cyanellus (green sunfish). RNAcentral's name for it is "partial small subunit ribosomal RNA". The stretch from base 1 to 954 matches the Rfam family "Bacterial small subunit ribosomal RNA". Lineage: Eukaryota; Metazoa; Chordata; Actinopteri; Centrarchiformes; Centrarchidae. The record is from RNAcentral.
CAAAGGCUUGGUCCUGACUUUAUUAUCAACUUUAGCCAAACUUACACAUGCAAGUAUCCGCACACCCGUGAGAAUGCCCUUACAGUUUCCUGCUCGGAAACAAGGAGCUGGUAUCAGGCACAUCAAUAAAAGCCCACGACGCCUUGCUCAGCCACACCCCCAAGGGAACUCAGCAGUGAUAAACAUUAAGCCAUAAGUGAAAACUUGACUUAGUCAAGGCUAAAAGAGCCGGUAAAACUCGUGCCAGCCACCGCGGUUAUACGAGAGGCUCAAGUUGAUAAACCCCGGCGUAAAGAGUGGUUAAGGAAAAAUAGAAACUAAAGCCGAAUGCUUUCAAGACUGUUAUACGUUCCCGAGAGUAAGAAGACCAAUUACGAAAGUGGCUUUACUUUACCUGACCCCACGAAAGCUACGACACAAACUGGGAUUAGAUACCCCACUAUGCCUAGCCCUAAACAUUGACAAUUCCAUACAUCUGUUGUCCGCCAGGAAACUACGAGCAUCAGCUUAAAACCCAAAGGACUUGGCGGUGCUUUAGAUCCACCUAGAGGAGCCUGUUCUAGAACCGAUAACCCCCGUUCAACCUCACCCUUCCUUGUUUAUCCCGCCUAUAUACCACCGUCGUCAGCUUACCCUGUGAAGGCCUCAUAGUAAGCACAAUUGGCACAGCCCAGAACGUCAGGUCGAGGUGUAGCGAAUGGAGGGGGAAGAAAUGGGCUACAUUCUUUAAUAGAAAGUAUACGAAUGACUGACUGAAAUGUCUUUCCGAAGGAGGAUUUAGCAGUAAGCAAGAAGUAGAGUGUCCUGCUGAAUUUGGCCCUGAAGCGCGCACACACCGCCCGUCACUCUCCCCAAGCCCAAGAACUUAUAAUAAUUAAAGACUAAUCAUUGCAAAGGGGAGGCAAGUCGUAACAUGGUAAGUGUACCGGAAGGUGCGCUUGGAAAAAUCAGAGUGUAGCUAAGACAGAAAAGCAUCUCCCUUACACCGAGAAGUCACCCGUGCAAAUCGAGUCACCCUGAGGCCCAACAGCUAGCCCCACAUCUAAAAGCAACCAACCAUCAUUUAUACCCCCAAACACACUAGUGUCUCUCAAACAAACCAUUUUUCCCCCUAAGUACGGGCGACAGAAAA